Molecule: non-coding RNA, 91 nt
Organism: Acanthosepion pharaonis
Lineage: Eukaryota; Metazoa; Mollusca; Cephalopoda; Sepiida; Sepiidae
Source: the annotation of a GenBank genome assembly
ACGGCUUCCCGUAUGAUCAUCGAAGUUAAGCAACGUCAAGCCCGAUAAGUACCUAGAUGGGUGACUGUUUGAGAAUAACAAGUGCUGUAAG